RNAcentral lists this unclassified non-coding RNA (332 nucleotides) under fungal sp. RNAcentral describes it as "partial internal transcribed spacer region". The stretch from base 1 to 46 matches the Rfam family "Eukaryotic small subunit ribosomal RNA", at positions 1786 to 1831 of the family's 1831-position model. Lineage: Eukaryota; Fungi. The record is from RNAcentral.
AAGUCGUAACAAGGUUUCCGUAGGUGAACCUGCGGAAGGAUCAUUAACACGAAUCCUAACCUAAUUACCAAAUGGUACGUUUUUUUUCGGUCUUGCUGUAAAGCCUUUCUAAUCGGUAAACGAACUCGAGAGACAUUAUCAGGUUUCAACUUUCCUGCUCGUACCGACCGACUCAGAUACUGUGCUUUGCGGCUUAGGCUUUGUAUGAAACCGCAGUUUUUAAACCAUUGAGCUAAUCGUUGGGCAGUCUUCUUUGAGGAACCGAAAGGAUCUUCAGAUGCUGUCUCUUAAUACAAUUUACACAACUCUUAGCAACGGAUAUCUUGGUUCUC